This 468-nucleotide ribosomal RNA is filed under the name uncultured bacterium. RNAcentral describes it as "partial 16S ribosomal RNA". It matches the Rfam family "Bacterial small subunit ribosomal RNA", at positions 28 to 507 of the family's 1533-position model. The record is from RNAcentral.
GACGAACGCUGGCGGCGUGCUUAACACAUGCAAGUCGAACGGAAAGGCCCUGCAGUUGUGGGGUGCGCGAGUGGGGAACGGGUGAGUAACACGUGAGUAACCUGCCCUUGACUUGGGGAUAAUUUCAGGAAACUGGGGCUAAUACCGGAUAGGAGCUCCUGCUGCAUGGUGGGGGGUGGCAAGUUUCGGCGGUUCGGGCUGGACUCGCGGCUUGUCAGCGUGUUGGUGGGGUAGUGUCUUACCAAGGCUUUGACGGAUAGCCGGCCUGGGAGGGUGACCGGCCACACUGGGACUGCGCUACGGCCCAGACUCCUACGGGAGGCAGCAGUCGGGAUUAUUGCACAAUGGGCUGAAGCCUGAUGCAGCAACGCCGCGUGCGGGAUGACGGCCUUCGGGUUGUAAACCGCUUUCGCCUGUGACGAAGCGUGAGUGACGGUAAUGGGUAAAGAAGCACCGGCUAACUACGUG